Molecule: long non-coding RNA, 370 nt
Filed under: Ricinus communis (castor bean)
Lineage: Eukaryota; Viridiplantae; Streptophyta; Magnoliopsida; Malpighiales; Euphorbiaceae
Description: long non-coding RNA (RCOM_LNC000860)
Source: RNAcentral
AAAAGAAGAAGAAAAAAAGGGGGGAAGCGAGAGAAUGAAGGCAUUCUAGUCCACAACCACCACGGCCGACUAGUCUCAACCACAGGUAACCCGCGGCUCUCAAAAUAAAACAAUAUACGAGGCAGUUCGCUCCACAGCAAGGUCGCGACCUGACAUCACGAGCCACUGCCAGACCGUGACCUCACACGGGAGAAGAAAAGAGACAACCAGUCCACUCCACGGGAUGGAAGCGAUGCACCUAUAAUCAUCGCAGCCUGGUCGCGACCCGUCUUAUUGCAGUUAAAGGCGAUAGCUCGAGCCCUAUGUUCGGUGCCGUACUUUCUCCAGCCUCUUCAUCAACGCACAACUGCAAACAAAAAAAAAUUUCCAG